Molecule: transfer RNA, 62 nt
Filed under: bovine gut metagenome
Rfam family: tRNA
About the family: Transfer RNA (tRNA) molecules are approximately 80 nucleotides in length.
Source: RNAcentral
GUUUAGCAUAACGGAAAUGCAACAGAUUUCUAAUCUGUCGACUGUAGGUUCGAAUCCUACAA